GAUGAACGCUGGCGGCGUGCCUAAUACAUGCAAGUCGAGCGAACAGACGAGGAGCUUGCUCUUCUGACGUUAGCGGCGGACGGGUGAGUCACACGUGGAUAACCUACCUAUAAGACUGGGAUAACUUCGGGAAACCGGAGCUAAUACCGGAUAAUAUAUUGAAGCGCAUGGUUCAAUAGUGAAAGACGGUUUUGCUGUCACUUAUCGAUGGAUCCGCGCCGCAUUAGCUAGUUGGUAAGGUAACGGCUUACCAAGGCAACGAUGCGUAGCCGACCUGAGAGGGUGAUCGGCCACACUGGAACUGAGACACGGUCCAGACUCCUACGGGAGGCAGCAGUAGGGAAUCUUCCGCAAUGGGCGAAAGCCUGACGGAGCAACGCCGCGUGAGUGAUGAAGGUCUUCGGAUCGUAAAACUCUGUUAUUAGGGAAGAACAAAUGUGUAAGUAACUAUGCACGUCUUGACGGUACCUAAUCAGAAAGCCACGGCUAACUACGUG
Molecule: ribosomal RNA, 497 nt
Filed under: uncultured bacterium
Lineage: Bacteria
Description: partial 16S ribosomal RNA
Rfam family: Bacterial small subunit ribosomal RNA
Source: RNAcentral